Small nuclear RNA from Pteronotus mesoamericanus, 164 nucleotides. RefSeq annotates it as U1 spliceosomal RNA. The transcript has a single exon. NCBI's taxonomy places the organism in Eukaryota, Metazoa, Chordata, Mammalia, Chiroptera, Mormoopidae. The record is from RefSeq and is a predicted model, not a curated record.
AUACUUACCUGGCUGGGGAGAUGCCAUGAUCACGAAGGUGGUUUUCCCAGGGCGAGGCUUCGCCAUUGCCCUCCGGAUGUGCUGGCCCCUGCAAUUUCCCCAAAUGUGGGAAACUCAAGUGCACAGUUUGUGAUAAUGGGGGACUGUGUUUGUGCUCUUCCCUU